Molecule: ribosomal RNA, 492 nt
Filed under: uncultured bacterium
Lineage: Bacteria
Description: partial 16S ribosomal RNA
Rfam family: Bacterial small subunit ribosomal RNA
Source: RNAcentral
AGUGAACGCUGGCGGUAGGCCUAACACAUGCAAGUCGAACGGCAGCACAGUAAGCGCUUGCUCUUACGGGUGGCGAGUGGCGGACGGGUGAGGAAUACAUCGGAAUCUACUUUUUCGUGGGGGAUAACGACGGGAAACUUACGCUAAUACCGCCUACGACCUACGGGUGAAAGCAGGGGAUCUUCGGACCUUGCGCGUUUGAAUGAGCCGAUGUCGGUUUAGCUAGUUGGCGGGGUAAAGGACCGCCAAGGCGAGGAUCCGUAACUGGUGUGAGAGCGUGAUCAGGCACAGUGAGACUGAGACGCGGUCCUGACUCCUACAGGAGGCAGCAGUGGGGAAUAUAGGACGAUGGGCGCAAGCCUGAUCCAGCCGUACCGGGUGGGUGAAGAAGGCCUGCGGGUGGUAAAGCCCUUUUGUUGGGAAAGAAAAGCAGCGGGUUAAUACCCGGCUUUUCUGACGGUACCCAAAGAAUAAGCACCGGCUAACUUCGUG